UCCAGUCUCCAACCAUAGGCCUCUUGCUUCCAAACUAGCUUCUAGCAUGUGAACCUGACAGUCGGUGGUGUUACUUCACCUACCACUGAAUUGUCUCAGCCCUAAAAUGAUAAAAUUACCAACCCAGUUGCCAGCACUGGCAAUCAUCUUGGAUUUUCUAAGCUGCCUCUUACCUCAGUGUCUGCAAGAGAGCACCUUCAGGGCCAUAUUGUUUUGACACUGACACAUUUGUAUCUGGCAGUCCUGGAGGGUUGAUUCAGUCAGGUAUCUCUGCUUAUGUUCCCCAUGGAUUUGAUCUGUUAUGCCUGCUGAGGUCACAUCACAACACCAAAAUGAGGACGUACAGGGAGUGGAAGUGGUGGGUCUGUCACAUGACCUUGCUAUCUGAAUCAUGGUAUGUCAACUCUUUACUCCCAGGUCACAGAAACAGCUUCUGCUUGUUCUCUAGUAUGUAUGUGUACAGAAUGAAGAGCUUAGAAGUAAGCAAAUAGUUAAAUAAGCAAAAACCAACCCAAACUUCAGUAUUUGAAAUACAGCAUCUGAUGUAGCUCGAAGAGCUCUGAAAUAUCACUAGAGGCUGCUCUUCUGUUCAUCCUUCCGACUACUAUAAGUUUGUAAGUAUAACACUAUCUUCCUGCCACUUACUUAGCCACAUACCUGGGUAAGAGCCUAGUAAUACUUUUACCUGUGUAUAGCAAACACAAGGGCCAGGGCUGCCACAGAUUUUUCA
Pezoporus flaviventris is the source of this 730-nucleotide long non-coding RNA. RefSeq lists it as uncharacterized. NCBI's taxonomy places the organism in Eukaryota, Metazoa, Chordata, Aves, Psittaciformes, Psittacidae. The record is from RefSeq and is a predicted model, not a curated record. The transcript is spliced from 4 exons.